RNAcentral lists this transfer RNA (99 nucleotides) under Caballeronia glebae. RNAcentral describes it as "Burkholderia glebae tRNA-Sec". Lineage: Bacteria; Pseudomonadati; Pseudomonadota; Betaproteobacteria; Burkholderiales; Burkholderiaceae. The record is from RNAcentral.
GCCGCGAGCAUGGAAAGCGCGCUUUCCUCGCCGGAUUUCAGCUCCAGCUCCAGCUCGCUGAUCUCCCCGCGGCGCGUCGUGCCGUCGACUUCCGCCGUG